RNAcentral lists this ribosomal RNA (274 nucleotides) under uncultured bacterium. RNAcentral describes it as "partial 16S ribosomal RNA". It matches the Rfam family "Bacterial small subunit ribosomal RNA", at positions 523 to 796 of the family's 1533-position model. The record is from RNAcentral.
AUACGGAGGGUGCAAGCGUUAUCCGGAUUUAUUGGGUUUAAAGGGUGCGCAGGCGGCGAUGUAAGUCAGUGGUGAAAGGCUGCCGCUUAACGGUAGGACUGCCAUUGAUACUGCAUUGCUUGAGUAUGAUUGAGGUAAGCGGAAUGUGUGGUGUAGCGGUGAAAUGCAUAGAUAUCACACAGAACACCGAUUGCGAAGGCAGCUUACUAAGCCAUUACUGACGCUGAGGCACGAAAGCGUGGGUAGCGAACAGAAUUAGAAACCCUAGUAGUCC